RNAcentral lists this ribosomal RNA (734 nucleotides) under Bacillus cereus. Its description in RNAcentral is "bacterial SSU rRNA". It matches the Rfam family "Bacterial small subunit ribosomal RNA", at positions 18 to 732 of the family's 1533-position model. Lineage: Bacteria; Bacillati; Bacillota; Bacilli; Caryophanales; Bacillaceae. The record is from RNAcentral.
CCUGGCUCAGGAUGAACGCUGGCGGCGUGCCUAAUACAUGCAAGUCGAGCGAAUGGAUUAAGAGCUUGCUCUUAUGAAGUUAGCGGCGGACGGGUGAGUAACACGUGGGUAACCUGCCCAUAAGACUGGGAUAACUCCGGGAAACCGGGGCUAAUACCGGAUAACAUUUUGAACUGCAUGGUUCGAAAUUGAAAGGCGGCUUCGGCUGUCACUUAUGGAUGGACCCGCGUCGCAUUAGCUAGUUGGUGAGGUAACGGCUCACCAAGGCAACGAUGCGUAGCCGACCUGAGAGGGUGAUCGGCCACACUGGGACUGAGACACGGCCCAGACUCCUACGGGAGGCAGCAGUAGGGAAUCUUCCGCAAUGGACGAAAGUCUGACGGAGCAACGCCGCGUGAGUGAUGAAGGCUUUCGGGUCGUAAAACUCUGUUGUUAGGGAAGAACAAGUGCUAGUUGAAUAAGCUGGCACCUUGACGGUACCUAACCAGAAAGCCACGGCUAACUACGUGCCAGCAGCCGCGGUAAUACGUAGGUGGCAAGCGUUAUCCGGAAUUAUUGGGCGUAAAGCGCGCGCAGGUGGUUUCUUAAGUCUGAUGUGAAAGCCCACGGCUCAACCGUGGAGGGUCAUUGGAAACUGGGAGACUUGAGUGCAGAAGAGGAAAGUGGAAUUCCAUGUGUAGCGGUGAAAUGCGUAGAGAUAUGGAGGAACACCAGUGGCGAAGGCGACUUUCGGU